Nemania sp. FL0031 is the source of this 132-nucleotide non-coding RNA. Lineage: Eukaryota; Fungi; Ascomycota; Sordariomycetes; Xylariales; Xylariaceae. The record is from the annotation of a GenBank genome assembly.
GCCCGGUUAGCUCAAUCGGUAGAGCGUGAGACUCUUAAUCUCAAGGUUGCGGGUGAGUAGCUUCUUCAGAAAGUUAAAAAAUAGUACCAAAAUACUAAUUCUGUACCAUAGGUUCGACCCCCGCAUCGGGCU